RNAcentral lists this ribosomal RNA (468 nucleotides) under uncultured bacterium. RNAcentral describes it as "partial 16S ribosomal RNA". It matches the Rfam family "Bacterial small subunit ribosomal RNA", at positions 28 to 507 of the family's 1533-position model. The record is from RNAcentral.
GACGAACGCUGGCGGCGUGCUUAACACAUGCAAGUCGAACGGAAAGGCCCUGCUUUUGUGGGGUGCUCGAGUGGCGAACGGGUGAGUAACACGUGAGUAACCUGCCCUUGACUUUGGGAUAACUUCAGGAAACUGGGGCUAAUAUCGGAUAGGAGCUCCUGCUGCACGGUGGGGGUUGGAAAGUUUCGGCGGUUGGGGAUGGUCUGGCGGCUUAUGCGCUUGUUGGUGGGGUAGUGGCUUACCAGGUCUUUGACGGGUAGCCGGCCUGGGAGGGUGACCGGGCACAAUGGGACUAAGAGACGGCCCAGAAUGGAACGGGAGGCAACAGGGGGGAGUAUUGCGCAAUGGGCGGAAGUGUGAGGCAGCAGCGUCGGGUGCGGGAUGACGGCCUACGAGUUGUAAACCGCUUUGGACUGUGACGAAGCGUGAGUGACGGUAAUGGGUAAAGAAGCACCGGCUAACUACGUG